RNAcentral lists this long non-coding RNA (458 nucleotides) under Pan troglodytes (chimpanzee). RNAcentral's name for it is "long non-coding RNA NONPTRT013759". Lineage: Eukaryota; Metazoa; Chordata; Mammalia; Primates; Hominidae. The record is from RNAcentral.
CCUUUCCCCAGGAGCUCCCAGCAACCUUCGCGCUUCUCCGGAGGGUGGGGUCUGCCGCGGCGCGGGGGCAGCCUCGCCCCACCUCACUGCUGGACUCCGGAGAGCCAUUUCUGGGACCGGGAGCUGUCCAGCGCCUCGGGUCCUGACGGACCGCUGAUUCGCCUAGGUGCCAUCGGACAAGCGGGUGCUCAGAGCCAGCUCUGGUGGCUCGGGAGCUUUCCCCCAACCAGGCUAAGACCACUAAACCACGCCUGGCCCAGAUGAGCUUGGAUGCAGCUCCGAACGUGGGGAUCCAUCGGUGCUGAGAACUGACCCAGGGAGCACCUUGACCCCUGCCCUAUCUGGGCACAAUUGAAGGGCCAAGUGCCACCAGACCACUUUCCUGGAACCCUGUCUCAGACUUGGGCAGGAAGAAGAGCCAUGAGAGUAGGUCAUGAAAUCCUCAUUCCAGAGAUACC